GCCCAGCUAACUUAGUCGGUAAAACACGAGACUCUUAAUCUCGGAAAAGUGGGUUUGAGCCCCACGUUGGGCG
Non-coding RNA from Cinara cedri, 73 nucleotides. The record is from the annotation of a GenBank genome assembly. Lineage: Eukaryota; Metazoa; Arthropoda; Insecta; Hemiptera; Aphididae.